RNAcentral lists this ribosomal RNA (1499 nucleotides) under Weissella confusa. Its description in RNAcentral is "bacterial SSU rRNA". It matches the Rfam family "Bacterial small subunit ribosomal RNA". The record is from RNAcentral. Lineage: Bacteria; Bacillati; Bacillota; Bacilli; Lactobacillales; Lactobacillaceae.
GAUGAACGCUGGCGGCGUGCCUAAUACAUGCAAGUCGAACGCUUUGUGGUUCAACUGAUUUGAAGAGCUUGCUCAGAUAUGACGAUGGACAUUGCAAAGAGUGGCGAACGGGUGAGUAACACGUGGGAAACCUACCUCUUGGCAGGGGAUAACAUUUGGAAACAGAUGCUAAUACCGUAUAACAAUGACAACCGCAUGGUUGUUAUUUAAAAGAUGGUUCUGCUAUCACUAAGAGAUGGUCCCGCGGUGCAUUAGCUAGUUGGUAAGGUAAUGGCUUACCAAGGCGAUGAUGCAUAGCCGAGUUGAGAGACUGAUCGGCCACAAUGGGACUGAGACACGGCCCAUACUCCUACGGGAGGCAGCAGUAGGGAAUCUUCCACAAUGGGCGAAAGCCUGAUGGAGCAACGCCGCGUGUGUGAUGAAGGGUUUCGGCUCGUAAAACACUGUUGUAAGAGAAGAAUGACAUUGAGAGUAACUGUUCAAUGUGUGACGGUAUCUUACCAGAAAGGAACGGCUAAAUACGUGCCAGCAGCCGCGGUAAUACGUAUGUUCCAAGCGUUAUCCGGAUUUAUUGGGCGUAAAGCGAGCGCAGACGGUUAUUUAAGUCUGAAGUGAAAGCCCUCAGCUCAACUGAGGAAUUGCUUUGGAAACUGGAUGACUUGAGUGCAGUAGAGGAAAGUGGAACUCCAUGUGUAGCGGUGAAAUGCGUAGAUAUAUGGAAGAACACCAGUGGCGAAGGCGGCUUUCUGGACUGUAACUGACGUUGAGGCUCGAAAGUGUGGGUAGCAAACAGGAUUAGAUACCCUGGUAGUCCACACCGUAAACGAUGAGUGCUAGGUGUUUGAGGGUUUCCGCCCUUAAGUGCCGCAGCUAACGCAUUAAGCACUCCGCCUGGGGAGUACGACCGCAAGGUUGAAACUCAAAGGAAUUGACGGGGACCCGCACAAGCGGUGGAGCAUGUGGUUUAAUUCGAAGCAACGCGAAGAACCUUACCAGGUCUUGACAUCCCUUGACAACUCCAGAGAUGGAGCGUUCCCUUCGGGGACAAGGUGACAGGUGGUGCAUGGUUGUCGUCAGCUCGUGUCGUGAGAUGUUGGGUUAAGUCCCGCAACGAGCGCAACCCUUAUUACUAGUUGCCAGCAUUCAGUUGGGCACUCUAGUGAGACUGCCGGUGACAAACCGGAGGAAGGUGGGGAUGACGUCAAAUCAUCAUGCCCCUUAUGACCUGGGCUACACACGUGCUACAAUGGCGUAUACAACGAGUUGCCAACCCGCGAGGGUGAGCUAAUCUCUUAAAGUACGUCUCAGUUCGGAUUGUAGGCUGCAACUCGCCUACAUGAAGUCGGAAUCGCUAGUAAUCGCGGAUCAGCACGCCGCGGUGAAUACGUUCCCGGGUCUUGUACACACCGCCCGUCACACCAUGAGAGUUUGUAACACCCAAAGCCGGUGGGGUAACCUUCGGGAGCCAGCCGUCUAAGGUGGGACAGAUGAUUAGGGUG